This 301-nucleotide ribosomal RNA is filed under the name uncultured bacterium. RNAcentral's name for it is "partial 16S ribosomal RNA". It matches the Rfam family "Bacterial small subunit ribosomal RNA", at positions 509 to 807 of the family's 1533-position model. The record is from RNAcentral.
CAGCAGCCACGGGAAUACGGAGGGAGCUAGCGUUGUUCGGAAUUACUGGGCGUAAAGCGCACGUAGGCGGCUUUGUAAGUCAGAGGUGAAAGCCUGGAGCUCAACUCCAGAACUGCCUUUGAGACUGCAUCGCUUGAAUCCAGGAGAGGUGAGUGGAAUUCCGAGUGUAGAGGUGAAAUUCGUAGAUAUUCGGAAGAACACCAGUGGCGAAGGCGGCUCACUGGACUGGUAUUGACGCUGAGGUGCGAAAGCGUGGGGAGCAAACAGGAUUAGAUACCCCUGUAGUCCCUGUCUCUUAUAC